RNAcentral lists this ribosomal RNA (406 nucleotides) under uncultured bacterium. Its description in RNAcentral is "partial 16S ribosomal RNA". It matches the Rfam family "Bacterial small subunit ribosomal RNA", at positions 30 to 526 of the family's 1533-position model. The record is from RNAcentral.
AUUGAACGCUGGCGGCAGGCCUAACACAUGCAAGUCGAACGAGUGGCGGACGGGUGCGUAAUGUCUGGGAAACUGCCUGAUGGAGGGGGAUAACUACUGGAAACGGUAGCUAAUACCGCAUAACAUCAGAUGUGCCCAGAUGGGAUUAGCUAGUUGGUGGGGUAACGGCGUACCAAGGCGACGAUCCCUAGCUGGUCUGAGAGGAUGACCAGCCACACUGGAAAUGAGACACGGUCCAGACUCCUCCGGGAGGCAGCAGUGGGGAAUAUUGCACAAUGGGCGAAAGCCUGAUGCAGCCAUGCCGCGUGUAUGAAGAAGGCCUUCGGGUUGUAAAGUACUUUCAGCGGGGAGGCGUUACCCGCAGAAGAAGCACCGGCUAACUCCGUGCCAGCCGCCGCGGUAAUUC